UACUAGAGUAGCACUCGCAUAUCAAUAAGCGGAGGAAAAGAAACUAACAAGGAUUCCCCUAGUAACGGCGAGUGAAGCGGGAAGAGCUCAAAUUUGAAAUCUUAAAGGGUUUCCCUUUACGAAUUGUAGUUUAAAGAAGUGUUUUCUGUUGAGGUUUUGGUAAAAGUUCUUUGGAAUAGGACAUCAUAGAGGGUGAGAAUCCCGUAUUUGACCUUUACUUUCAACUUUGUGAUACACUUUCAAAGAGUCGGAUUGUUUGGGAAUGCAGUCCAAAAUGGGUGGUAAAUUUCAUCUAAAGCUAAAUAUUGGCGAGAGACCGAUAGCGAACAAGUACCGUGAGGGAAAGAUGAAAAGAACUUUGAAAAGAGAGUUAAACAGUACGUGAAAUUGUCAAAAGGGAAGCGUUUGACACCAGUGUUGUUUUUCUGAAAAUCAAUUAAAGAACUGUUUAUGCUAAGUUGUUUAGACUUUAUCAGCUAACUGUUUAGUUUUGAGCUUUUCUUUAAUGCACUUUUCAGUUAACAAGUCAACAUCAAUUUCUUUUGCUGUAAAAAAGCUUGAGGAAGGUGGCUUGAGAUUCGUCUUAAGUGUUUAUAGCCUCUUGCCUAUGCAGUCGGAGAGAUUGAGGUCUGCAGCGUAGAUCCUUCGGGGCUAAAUGCAUUUGUGCUAAGUUAUAGCAUUUAUAGACAACUUGUUGACUAUGAUUUGUCUUGUAGCUUACUCGCUUAUGUUAUUUUACCUACGCUUAGGAUGUUGAUCUCUCACAGUCGAGC
Molecule: ribosomal RNA, 773 nt
Filed under: uncultured Neocallimastigales
Lineage: Eukaryota; Fungi; Neocallimastigomycota; Neocallimastigomycetes; Neocallimastigales
Description: partial large subunit ribosomal RNA
Rfam family: Eukaryotic large subunit ribosomal RNA
Source: RNAcentral